CCUACGGGCGGCAGCAGUGAGGAAUAUUGGUCAAUGGACGCAACUCUGAACCAGCCAUGCAGCGUGCAGGAUGACGGCUCUAUGAGUUGUAAACUGCUUUUAUGCGGGGAUAAACUCAGUUACGUGUGUCUUAUUGCAGGUAUCGCACGAAUAAGGACCGGCUAACUCCGUGCCAGCAGCCGCGGUAAUACGGAGGGUUCGGGCGUUAUCCGGAUUUAUUGGGUUUAAAGGGUGCGUAGGCGGCUCGAUAAGUGAGAGGUGAAAUGCCGCGGCUCAACCGCGGCACUGCCUCUGAUACUGGGGGGCUAGAGUGCAGUGGCGGUAGGCGGAAUGCAUGGUGUAGCGGUGAAAUGCAUAGAGAUCACAAAGAACACCGAUUGCGAAGGCAGCUUACCAAAGUACUACUGACGUUGAGGCACGAAGGUGCGGGGAGCAAACAGGAUUAGAUACCCGAGUAGUC
This 460-nucleotide ribosomal RNA is filed under the name uncultured bacterium. Its description in RNAcentral is "partial 16S ribosomal RNA". It matches the Rfam family "Bacterial small subunit ribosomal RNA", at positions 338 to 795 of the family's 1533-position model. The record is from RNAcentral.